GACUCCGGAGAGGGAGCCUGAGAAACGGCUACCACAUCCAAGGAAGGCAGCAGGCGCGCAAAUUACCCACUCUCGGCACGAGGAGGUAGUGACGAAAAAUAACGAGACGGAUCUCUUUGAGGCCCGUUAUCGGAAUGAGAACAAUUCAAAUCCUUUAACGAGGAUCUAGCGGAGGGCAAGUCUGGUGCCAGCAGCCGCGGUAAUUCCAGCUCCGCAGGUGUAUAUCUAUGCUGCUGCGGUUAAAAAGCUCGUAGUUGGGUCUGCGUGCUCGGAACUGGUUGGCUCACAGAGUUCAAACUGGUCUCCGGCGCUUUAUUGGCUGGUUUUCCCUUGAUGCUCUUAACCGGGUGUCUUGGGUGGCUAGCACGUUUACUUUGAAAAAAUUAGAGUGCUCAAUACAGGCGUAAAGCCUUGAAUAGUGGUGCAUGGAAUAAUAGAAUAGGACCUCGGCUCUAUUUUGUUGGUUUUCGGAACGCGAGGUAAUGAUUAAGAGGGACAGACGGGGGGCAUUCGUAUUGCGACGUUAGAGGUGAAAUUCUUGGAUCGUCGCAAGACGGACGACUGCGAAAGCAUUUGCCAAGAAUGUUUUCAUUAAUCAAGAACGAAAGUUAGAGGUUCGAAGGCGAUCAGAUACCGCCCUAGUUCUAACCGUAAACGAUGCCAACUAGCGAUUCGCAGGCGUUAGACAACGACCUUGCGGGCAGCUUCCCGGAAACGAAAGUGUUCGGGUUCCGGGGGAAGUAUGGUUGCAAAGCUGAAACUUAAAGGAAUUGACGGAAGGGCACCACCAGGAGUGGAGCCUGCGGCUUAAUUUGACCCAACACGGGAAAACUCACCCGGCCCGGACACCGUAAGGAUUGACAGGUUGAGAGCUCUUUCUUGAUUCGGUGGGUGGUGGUGCAUGGCCGUUCUUAGUUGGUGGAGCGAUUUGUCUGGUUUAUUCCGAUAACGAACGAGACUCUGGCCUACUAAAUAGUGGGCGGAUUCUUUCUGUCCGCAACACUUCUUAGAGGGACAAGCGGUGUUCAGCCGCACGAGAUUGAGCAAUAACAGGUCUGUGAUGCCCUUAGAUGUCCGGGGCUGCACGCGCGCUACACUGAAGGAAUCAGCGUGCUUUCUGACCUUGCCCGAAAGGGCUGGGUAACCCGAUGAAAAUCCUUCGUGAUUGGGAUAGGGACUUGCAAUUAUUUCCCUUGAACGAGGAAUUCCCAGUAAGUGUGGGUCAUAAGCUCGCGUUGAUUACGUCCCUGCCCUUUGUACACACCGCCCGUCGCUGCCCGGAACUGAGCCGUUUCGAGAAGAACAGGGACCGUCGUUGAAGGGCCUUAACGGGCUUUUCUCUGAUAGAAACUGUUUUAAUCGCAGUGGCUUGAACCGGGCAAAAGUCGUAACAAGGUU
Molecule: ribosomal RNA, 1398 nt
Filed under: metagenome
Description: SSU rRNA
Rfam family: Eukaryotic small subunit ribosomal RNA
Source: RNAcentral